UUGAACGCUGGCGGCAUGCCUUACACAUGCAAGUCGAACGGUAACAGGUUAAGCUGACGCGUGGCGAACGGGUGAGUAGUACAUCGGAACGUGCCCAGUAGUGUGGGUUAGCCCGGCGAAAGCCGGAUUAAUACCGCAUACGACCUAAGGGUGAAAGGGGGGGAUCGCAAGACCUCUCGCUAUUGGAGCGGCCGAUGUCAGAUUAGCUAGUUGGUGGGGUAAAAGCUCACCAAGGCGACGAUCUGUAGCUGGUCUGAGAGGACGACCAGCCACACUGGGACUGAGACACGGCCCAGACUCCUACGGGAGGCAGCAGUGGGGAAUUUUGGACAAUGGGCGCAAGCCUGAUCCAGCCAUGCCGCGUGCGGGAAGAAGGCCUUCGGGUUGUAAACCGCUUUUGUCAGGGAAGAAAUCCUUUGGGUUAAUACCUCGGGGGGAUGACGGUACCUGAAGAAUAAGCACCGGCUAACUACGUG
RNAcentral lists this ribosomal RNA (476 nucleotides) under uncultured bacterium. RNAcentral's name for it is "partial 16S ribosomal RNA". It matches the Rfam family "Bacterial small subunit ribosomal RNA", at positions 30 to 507 of the family's 1533-position model. The record is from RNAcentral.